Non-coding RNA from Vombatus ursinus (common wombat), 1585 nucleotides. The record is from the annotation of a RefSeq genome assembly. Lineage: Eukaryota; Metazoa; Chordata; Mammalia; Diprotodontia; Vombatidae.
GCCAAAGACAGAGAGCCAAGUUUUUGUACACCCACUAGAGGGGCUCAAAUUAAUGUGAUUAUUUUGACUACUGGGGCCAAGGGACCAUGGUGACCGUCUCCUCAGCUGUCCCAGCUGCACCAAAGCUCUUCCCCCUCUCCUCCUGUUGGAGUUCUCAAAUGAGUGAUGCUCCUGUGGCUGUGGGUUGUUUGGCUAAGGAUUUUCUACCUGAAUCCAUAAACUUCUCCUGGAGCUACCAAAACCAAAGUGCUGUGAGUGCCACAGAUUUAAAGAUCUUCCCAACUCUUAUGAGUGGGAGCACGUACACAGCCACCUCACAAGUGACCCUCCCUGCCAAUGAUGUCUUCGAAGGACAAGAUAGCUAUUUGGUAUGUAAGACCCGUCAUACCAAAGGCAACAAGGAAGUUCGAGUUCCACUUCCAGAUCGCACCAUCAGUUCCCCCAAUGUGACUGUGUAUAUUCCACCCCGUGAUGUGUUCUCCAGCUCUAACCUAAGAACAUCCAAGCUCAUCUGUCAAGCCACCAACUUCAAGCCAAACAAGAUCAAAUUAACAUGGCUUCAAGAGGGCAGGCCACUUCUGUCAGGUGUCUCUACAGGUCAAGUCCUGCCUGAAGGUUCUGGGACUUACUUCCUGCAGAGCAGCCUGACUAUCAGUGAAAAUGACUGGCUCAGCCAAAGCACAUUCACCUGCCAGGUAGAACAUGAAAGGGUCCAAUUCCAGAAGAAUGUUUCCUCAACCUGUUUCAGUGGGGGCCCAGAAUCACCCAUUGAAGCCUUUGUCAUCCCCCCCUCCUUUGCAAGCAUCUUUGUUACCAAAUCAGCCAAAUUAACCUGUGUAGUCACAAACCUUCCCACUCCUCAAAAUCCGAAUAUUUCCUGGACCCGGGAGAAUGGACAGCCUCUGGAAACUACCGUUAAGGUGUCCCUCAGCCACCUCAAUGGCACUUUUAGUGCUGAGGGAGUAGCCACAGUCUGUGAAGAUGAAUGGAAUUCAGGGACGGUAUUCAAAUGCAUCGUGAUUCAUCCUAAUCAUCCUGUUCCCUUGAAGAAAGAAAUCUUUAAGCCAAAAGGGACUACCAUGUACGCACCAGCUAUCUACCUAUUGCCUCCAGCUCCUGAAGAGCUGAGCCUCAGGGAAUCAGCUACCCUAACCUGCCUGAUGAAGGACUUCUCCCCAGCAGAUGUGCUUGUCCAGUGGCGGCACAAAGGACAGCCUAUACCCUCAGAGAAAUAUGUCACCAGCAUCCCCCAGCAGGAACCCCAGAAAGACGGUCUCUACUUCUCCCACAGCACCCUGACAGUGUCUGAGAAACACUGGAAUGCAGGGGAUUCCUAUACCUGUGUGGUGGUUCAUGAAGCACUACCCUUGUCGGUGACUGAGAAGACCGUGGACAAGUCCACUGAAGGGGAAGUCAAUGCUGAAGAAGAGGGGUUUGAGAACCUGUGGACGACAGCUUCUACUUUCAUUGUCCUCUUCCUCCUGAGUCUCUUUUACAGUACAACAGUCACUCUGUUCAAGGUGAAAUAAAUUCAUGCUUGAAAGGCAAACAUCUGAAAACAAAGAGCUUGAACCAAAAGAAGGAA